GUCUCUAGAUGGGGAAGCUUUUUUUGUGUUAAAAACGUGGUCAUAUCUACCAUGUUUUUCAUGUCUCUAUCCUGGCCUAUGUUCUGUCCUGUCAGUUGGUCAUGGAAUCAUGAGUGAGUAGAUGGGGGGGGGGUGUGUACCUAGUUCAGCAUUGCCUACGUUGGCAUCUGCUGGCUUUUGGUGAAUGCUAUCUGCUGAACUGAGGCUAAAUUUAGGAAGUUGUAUGGUAAGUACAACGUGGUCAUAUCUACCACGUUUUUCAUGUCUCUAUCCUGGCCUAUGUUCUGUCCUGUCAGUUGGUCAUGGAAUCAUGAGUGAGUAGAUGGGGGGGGGUGUGUGUACCUAGUUCAGCAUUGCCUACAUUGGCAUCUGCUGGCUUUUGGUGAAUGCUAUCUGCUGAACUGAGGCUAAAUUUAGGAAGUUGUAUGGAAGUCCAGCUCUCCACUUCCCAGACAUAAUACUAUGCUUCCUCGACCCCCUCUGAUUGGAUGGAGCCAUGUGACUGAUCCUGACAAAUGACCCAUGUACAGCACAAGAGCUGCCGCCAGCCAGAAGACGCCAGAUGGCAGCGAGCAAUCAGAUCCCAGAGCAAUGUCACCUGCUGAAGGGAGCCAGUAACUAACUGACAAAGACAUCCUUGCUUUUUUAAAAUGAAAGUCAAGAUGGCCCACUUGUAUGGCUAGGGCCAUACUUGUAGAAUCGGCUUUGCAGGUGUUUCCAGGCAUAAUCUUGCCUUGGAUAUCCCAUCAUAGCCCUGGCCCUGGCCCUGGCAGGAUGCUUCCCUUCUAGUGUUUCCUAUUUUCUUCUUUGGCAUUUAGCAAUAGCUUCCUUUCUCUCUCAGAGCUAUUUUAGCAUCCCUUGUCUCCACAAGACCUUCUGUAACUCACUUGUUAUCAGGAAUAUAUUUAAAAGUACUUCUAUGAA
Long non-coding RNA from Mus musculus (house mouse), 924 nucleotides. RefSeq annotates it as predicted gene, 30600. The transcript is spliced from 3 exons. The record is from RefSeq and is a predicted model, not a curated record. NCBI's taxonomy places the organism in Eukaryota, Metazoa, Chordata, Mammalia, Rodentia, Muridae.